RNAcentral lists this non-coding RNA (87 nucleotides) under Bacillus sp. (in: firmicutes). RNAcentral describes it as "Bacillus sp. c-di-GMP sequence". It matches the Rfam family "c-di-GMP-I riboswitch aptamer". Rfam says of the family: GEMM was predicted in a large-scale screen for bacterial structured RNA regulatory elements. Genes associated with GEMM are involved in a diverse array of functions, including chemotaxis regulation, signal transduction, secretion and chitin. The record is from RNAcentral. Lineage: Bacteria; Bacillati; Bacillota; Bacilli; Caryophanales; Bacillaceae. RNAcentral also lists the same sequence under 1 other name.
AAAAUUUCAGGGCAAAUCCAUCUAAAGGUGGAGACGCAAAGCCGUAGGGUCUAAGGCACUUUGUGCUAUGAUUGCCUGGCGGCCAAA